UUCCCAGACUCCUACGGGAGGCAGCAGUGAGGAAUAUUGGUCAAUGGGCGGAAGCCUGAACCAGCCAAGUCGCGUGAGGGAAUAAGGCCCUACGGGUCGUAAACCUCUUUUGCCGGGGAGCAAGGGCGGGGACGUGUCCCGGCCCGGAGAGUACCCGGAGAAAAAGCAUCGGCUAACUCCGUGCCAGCAGCCGCGGUAAUACGUAGGUGGCAAGCGUUAUCCGGAAUUAUUGGGCGUAAAGAGCGCGCAGGUGGUUAAUUAAGUCUGAUGUGAAAGCCCACGGCUUAACCGUGGAGGGUCAUUGGAAACUGGUUGACUUGAGUGCAGAAGAGGGAAGUGGAAUUCCAUGUGUAGCGGUGAAAUGCGUAGAGAUAUGGAGGAACACCAGUGGCGAAGGCGGCUUCCUGGUCUGCAACUGACACUGAGGCGCGAAAGCGUGGGGAGCAAACAGGAUUAGAUACCCGCGUAUG
RNAcentral lists this ribosomal RNA (470 nucleotides) under uncultured bacterium. RNAcentral's name for it is "partial 16S ribosomal RNA". It matches the Rfam family "Bacterial small subunit ribosomal RNA", at positions 328 to 793 of the family's 1533-position model. The record is from RNAcentral.